CUUGUUGAGCUGUCUGUUGAAACUGCUGACUAGCUUGAGCUGGUUGUUGAAACCGUUGGCUAGCUUGCUGUUGACUAGCUUCUUGAGCUGGUUGUUGAAACCGCUGAGGAAACUGUUGACUAGCUUGUUGAGCUGGCACUUGAAACCGCUGGUCAGUUUGCUGGAACAUCAAAGCUUGAGGAUUCUGGGGCAGAUUACUCAACUGUGGAACAGCAUGACAGAAAGCACAAAACCACACACAAAGUGCUAAAGAC
Long non-coding RNA from Megalobrama amblycephala (Wuchang bream), 254 nucleotides. RefSeq lists it as uncharacterized. Lineage: Eukaryota; Metazoa; Chordata; Actinopteri; Cypriniformes; Xenocyprididae. The record is from RefSeq and is a predicted model, not a curated record. The transcript is spliced from 2 exons.